UGUCUGUCCGUCUGUCUGUCUGUCUCUAGGCUCUAACUCAAGAACAGUAAUAGUAAUUAGAGAGCUGAAAUUUUCGCAGAUUAAUAAAUGUAUUUCUGUUGCCGCUAUAUCAACCAAUACUAAAA
Long non-coding RNA from Aricia agestis (brown argus), 125 nucleotides. RefSeq lists it as uncharacterized. The transcript is spliced from 2 exons. NCBI's taxonomy places the organism in Eukaryota, Metazoa, Arthropoda, Insecta, Lepidoptera, Lycaenidae. The record is from RefSeq and is a predicted model, not a curated record.